This 1897-nucleotide long non-coding RNA is filed under the name Mus spicilegus (steppe mouse). RNAcentral's name for it is "lncRNA (ENSMSIG00000024718.1)". The record is from RNAcentral. Lineage: Eukaryota; Metazoa; Chordata; Mammalia; Rodentia; Muridae.
GUCCUGGGGUCCGCCCUUCCCCGCCCCGUCCCCGCCUCCCACCCAGCCCCCUCCUCCUCAGGUGAGGCCGCAGGCUCGGCAGGCCCCACGCUGCUGGCUGCUGCUGCCACCCUUGCCUUCCGGGCUGCCCGCUGCUGUGGGGACAGACACCAUGCCCCUGCCCAGGCCCGGAGACUAACCCCAAACCUGCACCAUCUCCGGCGAACCCGAGGGUAAGGCACAGAAUGCGAAGCCCCUCAUCCCCCACCAAUCUGAUGCUCAGCAGCCCGUGUAAGAGAUCCCAGAAACCCCCAGACUACUCCAGCCUGCUUUCACUGCUAACUCAGAAAUCUGAGGACUCCCCCAAGUUCUCCUCCCUCAAAACCCUCAAGUCCCCUGGAAGUUCAACCUCGCCCGCCUGGUGUUCUGACCUGCCACUCCAGGUGUCCCCCUGGUGGCUGGUCACACAUUGCCAUUAUUGACCCCCGGCCCAACCUCUGUCUUUGCAUGCUCUGGCCCCAGCCCAGGGUCGGCUGCUCCCUGGAUGGGAGCCUGGGACUGGGGGCGCCAGGAUAGAGUCAGGCCAGGCUCCCCCAGGCCAUGCCUCCUUGUUCCUGUCCCUAGGUUCCGCCCCAGCCCAACAGGUCAACCUGGGAAUCAUUAACAAGAGUCCCUGACAUGGCGAAGGAGGAUGAGGAACCUGGGGCUCACAGAGGAGGUUCCACUUGUUCAAGACCCCAACCUGGAAAGGGUAAGGCUGCUAUUUUAUAUUUUAUUCUUUUUUUGUAUAUUUUUAAUUUUCUAUAUGUGUGUGUACAUGUGCCCAUGUGUAUGAGUAUGUGUAUGUGUGUGCAUGUGGGGGGUGUACACAUGUGUGUACGAGAAUGUGUAUAUAUGUGUGCAUGCACAUGCGUGUGAGCAUAUGUGUGUGUAUAUACAUGGGAUGUGCAUGUUCACAUGUGUGAAUGUGUAUGGAUGUGGGUGAGUUUGUGCAUGCACAUGUAUGCGUAUGAAUACAUGCAUGUGCCUGUGUGGAUACCGGUGUACACAUUGGAGACGGCAUGAAGAAUCUUGUGUGUCCUGCCCUAUCACUCUCUGUGUAUUUCCCGUGAUCUGGGGUCUCUCACUGAGCCUGCAGCUAGGCUGAUGGCCAGGGAGCCCCAACGACCCUCCUGUCUGUCCACCCCAACAGUGCAGGGCUUACAGACCUGCUCCACCACACCUGACCUUUUACACAGUGCUGGGAACCUAUCUCUGAAUCCCACACUUGCCCAGCAAGUGCUCUUACCCAUGGAGCCAUCUCUCCAAGGUCACUAUUUCAGAGUGGGGUUGCCCUGCAUAGUGCAAUGCCUGGCAUUGUAGCACUUAGGAAGCAGAGGCUAGCCUGAGUAUCAUAGGGAGACCUUGUCUAAGCUAGUGGUGGUGCAUGCCUUUAAUCCCAGCACUCCAGAGGCAGGGGCCAUUGGAUUUCUGAGUUGGAGGCCAGCCUGGUCUACAGAGAGAGUUCCAAGACAGCCAGGGCUACACAGAGAAACCCUGUUUUGAAAAACCAAAACCAAACCAGACCAAAAUACAGGCAGAUAUGGUGACACGUGACUGCCAUCCCAGCACUAAGGGAGGCAGGCAGGCAAACUCUCACUAGUUCGAGGCUAGCUUGUACAUUAUGGUAUGUUUGAUGCCAGCACUGUUAGGUAGUAAGACCUCUCAAAAUACAAACCAACCCCCCCCCCAAAAAAAAUCAAACCAAAAAAAACUUGGGUUCUCAAACUCCCAGAUACAAAUUUGAUCUUGGAACUUGUGAGAAAGAGAAUCAGGUCUUGGGGUUACCAAGAGGGUAAAGAUCAGAGGUCACAGGCACCUUAAAGUUGUAAGAACUUCUGGAAAGGUUAUCAGAAGAGAGGAUCUGGGGACAGGCUGG